CUGGUGUCGUACUAACAUACAAAAAGGAAUGUCAUUCCGUCGAAAUAGGCGCUUGCGGCUAGUGAGAGAUUCGCUUUUUAUGUCUUCCGGAAUUCGACCACUCACGCUCUUCGUCUUGAGCACAUCGUAUAUAGUAGUCUAGUGAGGAUGGAGACAAAUAAACCGUUAGUCUGAAAACCACACUCAUUAAGCGAAGGCAAGAGGCGAUUUCUUUUCGACCACAACAAGGCAAGCGUAAUAAAGAGUAAUCUCUGCAUCCAAAAAAAAUGCCUUAACUGUAAAACUGACAAAUUUAUAAAAUACAAAUGGGAAUUGCAAAGCAUAA
This is a long non-coding RNA of Ceratitis capitata (Mediterranean fruit fly), 325 nucleotides long. RefSeq lists it as uncharacterized. The transcript has 3 exons. The record is from RefSeq and is a predicted model, not a curated record. Lineage: Eukaryota; Metazoa; Arthropoda; Insecta; Diptera; Tephritidae.